This is a long non-coding RNA of Oncorhynchus gorbuscha (pink salmon), 1780 nucleotides long. RefSeq lists it as uncharacterized. The transcript is spliced from 3 exons. The record is from RefSeq and is a predicted model, not a curated record. NCBI's taxonomy places the organism in Eukaryota, Metazoa, Chordata, Actinopteri, Salmoniformes, Salmonidae.
ACUCCUCAUCAAUGAUGAACCUUGAUUCGUGAUUGGACACAACUGGUUGUUCUUCAGCAUCACCUUGUCUCCAACACAGUCAAGUUGCUACUCCUCUGGAUAUCCCAUUGUUCCUCCACUGGACCUAAUGAAACACUGAUGGGAUUGAAGUCAUCUGCUCCCCCCCACAUCCAUCAAAGCAGUAAAUAACCAGUCAGUCCAUCAUCAGGGGUUCAAGUGACGACAGUAUGUCAUCAUCACAUGACAAGAGAUGGACAAAAGCACGAAAGGAAUUCAAGGAAAGUGUUGAAGUAUUCAGACACCUCCUUGAUGAACAUUUGACGGACCUUCAGGCAAAAGUGAAAGAGCUUCGUCAGAUAGCUGACAGUUAUGAGACUUGGUACCGUGCCACUACUAGAGGUAGUCAGGUAGGGGGUAUUAUUGGGGCGACUGGAGGGAUCACUAUUUUAGUAGGCCUUGCCCUGGCUUUAUUAAAUUUCGGCUCCUCCAUGGUUGUUGCCGCGGUGGGUAUGGGAAUAGGUGUAACUGGUGGGAUUACUGGCGCUGCUUCUACCAUCACCAGCAUGGUGAGUCAAAAAAAUGACAGAGACAACAUUCAGUGCAUUCAGAAACAUUUUCUGGAAAAUGUCAAACCAAUUGAGGAAAGUUUGAGUAAAAAUCAACUCGAAAGUUGAAGAAUUAAAGGCAAUGGCCAAUGAUCCAGCUAAACCAGGGGCUGAACUUUAUAAGAUAGCAUCUAGCCUGUAUUGUUUAGAACACGUUGUCUCUUUUGCUAAGCUUGCAAAUAUUGCCACACUAGGUGCCUCAUCUUCUAAAUCUCUCCGUGCGGCAGCAGCAUUGAGAGGGGUGCUCUCUAGCCUACUCCUAGGUCUUGACAUAAUGUUGAUUGUCAAGGACGUCAAGGAACUUGAUGCAAUGGAAAAUGGAAACCAAAUUCAGUCUGACACAGUGCCGUUUAUUCAGACAAUCAGGGACAUGGCUAAACAGUAUAAGCAGGCUAUUGACACGUUUAAACAGGCAAAGGAAGAACUUGAAAAAGAAUGAACUGAAAAACAUUGUUUUCAUACUAUUUUUUUCUUAAUCAGAUUAUACUUCUUGAAAUGAGUCUGAUUUUAUCAUUAUGUUCAGAUUAGAUCAUGUAUUCGACAAGGUAACUGUAUCCUGGGUUUGGAAUUGUAGUGUAUGAACUAUGUAUAUGGACAUAUCAAGAUACAUGGUGGUAUUAUCCAUGACAUAUGGUCUAUGUUGAUUUUAUAUUUGUACAGAAAUAUAUUGUGUUUGAUCUUUCUUACCUUUUAUAAUGUUAUUUGUUAAAUACUUUGAACUGAAUUUGUUGAAAGAAAUGUGCUAAUGUGUGUUUGAUUGACUGGUUUUUAUCUAACUUGAAUUGAAAGAAUAUAUGACUAAUGUAUACAUUGAAAUGUAAAUUGCUUGUAAUCUAGCUAAAGUAUGUGUCCUGAGGAUGUACAAGUAAAAUUUUUACCUAAAUGUAAAAUAUGCAUUUCAUAAGUAAUUAACUGUAAAUAUCAACAUAAUAUCAGCUAGCUCCCAAUGUACCAUAUAUGCCUUAGCAGUACUUUGAGGAAGUCAGCUAAGCAAUGUUCAUUAUUGAUUAUUUUCUCCUUAAAUUUUUUGAAGCACUUUGAAAUUCAUCAUCUGUAAGAAAUGUCCCAUAUAAACAAAGUUUGAUUAAACUUAACUUUUAUGUCUCUUAUGAAAAGUACAUUAACAGCAAAUGUAAAGCAAAUUUGAAAUUGUUAUUAAAGUAUUAUUGAACAAA